RNAcentral lists this ribosomal RNA (1362 nucleotides) under metagenome. Its description in RNAcentral is "bacterial LSU rRNA". It matches the Rfam family "Bacterial large subunit ribosomal RNA", at positions 1465 to 2798 of the family's 2925-position model. The record is from RNAcentral.
CUUCGGGACGCAGGAGGCUAUACAAUGGGGGCCAAUGGAUAUGGUCUCCUCCAAAGGCGUAGUAAGUCUGGGUUGGCAAAUCCGCCCGGGCGUUAAAAAAUGAGGCCGAGUAAGGAAGAUUCCACGGAAUCAACAUUGUAGACGCCAUGCUGCCGAGAAAAGCGGCGAAAGCCAGAUUAACGGGUGCUCGUACCCGAAACCGACACAGGUAGUCAGGUAGAGUAUACCAAGGUGCGCGAGAUAACUCUCUCUAAGGAACUCGGCAAAUUAACCUCGUAACUUCGGAAGAAGAGGUGCCAUGUUAGGGUGUAGCACCACGCGUGUGAAGCCUGAGAUGGUUGCAAAAAAUAGGCUCAAGCGACUGUUUAACAAAAACACAGGUCUCUGCAAAACCGUAAGGUGAAGUAUAGGGGCUGACGCGUGCCCAGUGCCGGAAGGUUAAGUGGAGCGGUUAGCGUAAGCGAAGCUGCGAAACAAAGCCCCGGUGAACGGCGGCCGUAACUAUAACGGUCCUAAGGUAGCGAAAUUCCUUGUCGGGUAAGUUCCGACCCGCACGAAACGCGUAACGAUUUGAGCACUGUCUCGGAGAGAGGCUCGGCGAAAUAGGAGUGUCUGUGAAGAUACGGACUAGGCGUGCCAGGACAGAAAGACCCUAUUGAGCUUUACUGUAGGCUGAAAUUGUCCGCGGGUUAUGUUUGCGCAGGAUAGGUGGGAGACAUUGAAGCAUGGAUUUUGGUCCGUGUGGAGUCAACGUUGAGAUACCACUCUGAUGUAGCUAGCGUACUAACCCCGUUCCAUGAAUCUGGGCGGGGAACAGAUUCAGUUGGGCAGUUUGACUGGGGCGGUCGCCUCCUAAACAGUAACGGAGGCGCUCAAAGGUUUCCUCAGGCUGGUCGGAAAUCAGCCAUCGAGUGUAAAGGCAGAAGGAAGCUUAACUGAAAGAGAGACAUCUCACUCAGAUACGAGAGUAGGACUUAGUGAUCCCACGGUUCCGCAUGGAAGGGCCGUUGCUCAUCGGAUAAAAGUUACCAUAGGGAUAACAGCCUGAUCUCCCCCAAGAGUCCACAUCGACGGGGAGGUUUGGCACCUCGAUGUCGGCUCAUCGCAUCCUGGGGCGGUAGUACGUCCCAAGGGUUGGGCUGUUCGCCCAUUAAAGCGGUACGUGAGCAGGGUUCAGAACGUCGUGAGACAGUUCGGUCCAUAUCCGGCAUGCCCGUAGGAUUCUUGAGCGGAGCCGUCCCUAGUACGAGAGGACCAGGACGGACGAACCUCCAGUGUACCUGUUAUCACGCCAGUGGUAAACGCAGGGUAGCUGUGUUCGGAGCGGAUAAUUGCUGAAAGCAUAUAAGUACGAAGCCCACC